AUUGAACGCUGGCGGCAGGCCUAACACAUGCAAGUCGAGCGGCAGCGGAAAGUAGCUUGCUACUUUGCCGGCGAGCAGCGGACGGGUGAGUAAUGUCUGGGAAACUGCCUGAUGGAGGGGGAUAACUACUGGAAACGGUAGCUAAUACCGCAUAACGUCGCAAGACCAAAGAGGGGGACCUUCGGGCCUCUUGCCAUCAGAUGUGCCCAGAGGGGAUUAGCUAGUAGGUGGGGUAACGGCUCACCUAGGCGACGAUCCCUAGCUGGUCUGAGAGGAUGACCAGCCACACUGGAACUGAGACACGGUCCAGACUCCUACGGGAGGCAGCAGUGGGGAAUAUUGCACAAUGGGCGCAAGCCUGAUGCAGCCAUGCCGCGUGUAUGAAGAAGGCCUUCGGGUUGUAAAGUACUUUCAGCGGGGAGGAAGGUGUUGAGGUUAAUAACCUCAGCAAUUGACGUUACCCGCAGAAGAAGCACCGGCUAACUCCGUGCCAGCAGCCGCCGCCG
This 506-nucleotide ribosomal RNA is filed under the name uncultured bacterium. RNAcentral's name for it is "partial 16S ribosomal RNA". It matches the Rfam family "Bacterial small subunit ribosomal RNA", at positions 30 to 523 of the family's 1533-position model. The record is from RNAcentral.